Molecule: long non-coding RNA, 853 nt
Filed under: Sus scrofa (pig)
Lineage: Eukaryota; Metazoa; Chordata; Mammalia; Artiodactyla; Suidae
Description: lncRNA (ENSSSCG00030062255.1)
Source: RNAcentral
AUAAUUAUAAGAAAAUAGGAGAUUAGGUUCAGAAAUAAACAACAACCAACUGUGGGCCUGAUGGCCAAGGCCAAGGUUGCACUGUGCUCUCAUCAGGGCCUCACUGCUGGCACAACUCUUCCUGGACCUCCCCAACCCCUUUUAGACUCUUGACUCCUCCACUGCCACCAAGAAUGUCAUGACUUCCUCCCUUAAGCAACAAAGUCCGAGGUGGGACUUUCCAAUUGGCUGAGCCUAGGUCAUGUGCUCAAGUGCCAGUCACAGAGGACUCUGGGAGUGGGGAUUAUCUGACACCCUUUGGCUUUCCCCUUAGGAAAUCUACCAAGACCCACCCAAUGGGGAACUGUUCCUAACAGAGAGUUCAAUGCCUCAUAGCCAAGAACAAAACAAAACAAAAAAACAAGAAAUGAGAAUUGAUUGCCACGGUAUGCACGUGCUCUUCUGCCUAUCAAGAGGUCAAGAGGUGGGGUCUAGCUCUGCUUGAGUCUGGGCUGACAUCCUGAAGUGCUUUGACCACCAGAAGUCUACAGAGGUGCUGUUUUGCCUAGCAUCUUUUACUUUCCCUCUGGAAACCAGCUGCCAUGUAAAAAGUCUGGCUGUAUAGAGACUCCAUGCCGUGAGGAAGCCCAAGCUAGUGGUAUUGAGAGGCCACAUAGAGGAGAGCCAAGGUAUCUGACAUAUGAGGAAACCCUUCUCAGACUUUCCAACCUAGCCCAGCCACCAGUUCAGUGCAGUUGAAUUUGUGACCUCAGCUGAUGUCACCUGGAGCAGAAAACCACACAGCUAGGGCCAGUCUACCAACAGAAUCAUGAGAAAUAAUAAAUAUUGUUUAUGACACUAAAUUUUAUGGUUU